UACAGAGGUCUCAAGCGUUGUUCGGAUUCAUUGGGCGUAAAGGGCGCGUAGGCGGCGGGGUCAGUCGGGUGUGAAAUCUUGGGGCUUAACCCCGAAACGGCACUCGAAACUGCCCGGCUGGAGGGCCGGAGAGGAGAUCGGAAUUCACGGUGUAGCAGCGAAAUGCGUAGAGAUCGUGAGGAAGACCCGUGGCGAAGGCGGAUCUCUGGACGGCUAACUGACGCUGAGGCGCGAAGGCCAGGGGAGCAAACGGG
This 254-nucleotide ribosomal RNA is filed under the name uncultured bacterium. Its description in RNAcentral is "partial 16S ribosomal RNA". It matches the Rfam family "Bacterial small subunit ribosomal RNA", at positions 524 to 776 of the family's 1533-position model. The record is from RNAcentral.